UUUAUGGAGAGUUUGAUCCUGGCUCAGGAUGAACGCUGGCGGCGUGCCUAAUACAUGCAAGUCGAGCGAACAGAUAAGGAGCUUGCUCCUUUGACGUUAGCGGCGGACGGGUGAGUAACACGUGGAUAACCUACCUAUAAGACUGGGAUAACUUCGGGAAACCGGAGCUAAUACCGGAUAAGAUUUUGAACCGCAUAGUUCAAUAGUGAAAGACGGCCUUGCUGUCACUUAUAGAUGGAUCCGCGCCGUAUUAGCUAGUUGGUAAGGUAACGGCUUACCAAGGCAACGAUACGUAGCCGACCUGAGAGGGUGAUCGGCCACACUGGAACUGAGACACGGUCCAGACUCCUACGGGAGGCAGCAGUAGGGAAUCUUCCGCAAUGGGCGAAAGCCUGACGGAGCAACGCCGCGUGAGUGAUGAAGGUCUUCGGAUCGUAAAACUCUGUUAUCAGGGAAGAACAAACGUGUAAGUAACUGUGCACGUCUUGACGGUACC
This 496-nucleotide ribosomal RNA is filed under the name Mesorhizobium sp. M7A.F.Ca.CA.001.10.2.1. Its description in RNAcentral is "bacterial SSU rRNA". It matches the Rfam family "Bacterial small subunit ribosomal RNA", at positions 1 to 479 of the family's 1533-position model. The record is from RNAcentral. Lineage: Bacteria; Pseudomonadati; Pseudomonadota; Alphaproteobacteria; Hyphomicrobiales; Phyllobacteriaceae.